CUGAAGAAAUUUGUCUCUGUAGAAACCCACAGGGACGCCCUUCGUUUGCACAGAUUAUUGCUCGACUCAAAGGUGUGCAUCGCCUUAGUGUGCAGAGAACCGACAGUCGUGAAAACCCAUCUCUGAUGUAACAAUAGCUCGGAACUUGUUCGAAGAACCAGUUGAGCAGAAGAAGUGAGUAUUUUAGGAGCAUAAUUGGAUUGGGUGGUGGUUCAUUGGCGAAGCUCAAUGCAACCGGAAUCAAAACUCGCCUCGCCUCGACUUCAGCAAGUGGCUCUUAAGUGCAGUUGGGGAAAACAUUGGGGCUAAAAUUCUUAAGAAAAUGGAGAAAAUGUUUAGAAGGUAUUAGGGUUGAUAAUGUAGCUGAUUAUAUUUGUAAUAAAUCUCUUAGAGAGAGAGAGAGAGAU
This 407-nucleotide long non-coding RNA is filed under the name Salvia miltiorrhiza (redroot sage). RNAcentral's name for it is "long non-coding RNA (SMIL_LNC003184)". Lineage: Eukaryota; Viridiplantae; Streptophyta; Magnoliopsida; Lamiales; Lamiaceae. The record is from RNAcentral.